UGUAAAAACCAAAAGAAAUGUCGAUUUCUGGGAGGAUGAUCUAGCUAAGAUUAGGACAAACUUACAAUUUAUAGAAGAGGAUAAAUCUGUUAUGAGCCAACAAGAGUACGAAGCUGAUAAAGCUGAAUAUAAAGAUAAAGAGACUCUGAGCCUUAGGAACUACAAUACUUCUAAACGUUAUCUAGAAAUUCUGGAGCGUGAUGG
RNAcentral lists this unclassified non-coding RNA (204 nucleotides) under Hevea brasiliensis (rubber tree). Lineage: Eukaryota; Viridiplantae; Streptophyta; Magnoliopsida; Malpighiales; Euphorbiaceae. The record is from RNAcentral.